UGGGGAAUAUUGGACAAUGGGGGGAACCCUGAUCCAGCCAUGCCGCGUGUGUGAAGAAGGCCUCAUGGUUGUAAAGCACUUUAAGCGAGGAGGAGGGUACUGGUAUUAAUACUACUAGCUACUGGACGUUACUCGCAGAAUAAGCACUGGCUAACUCUGUGCCAGCAGCCGCGGUAAUACAGAGGGUGCGAGCGUUAAUCGGAUUUACUGGGCGUAAAGCGUGCGUAGGCGGCUAAUUGAGUCGGAUGUGAAAUCCCCGAGCUUAACUUGGGAAUUGCAUUCGAUACUGGUUAGCUAGAGUGUGGGAGAGGAUGGUAGAAUUCCAGGUGUAGCGGUGAAAUGCGUAGAGAUCUGGAGGAAUACCGAUGGCGAAGGCAGCCAUCUGGCCUAACACUGACGCUGAGGUACGAAAGCAUGGGGAGCAAACAGG
Molecule: ribosomal RNA, 430 nt
Filed under: Pseudomonadota bacterium
Lineage: Bacteria; Pseudomonadati; Pseudomonadota
Description: Proteobacteria bacterium partial 16S ribosomal RNA
Rfam family: Bacterial small subunit ribosomal RNA
Source: RNAcentral